UGCUCGGGCAGCGACAGCAUCUCAUGCACGCCUCUUCAAUUGUUGGCACAAGUGCUCGCUCGCUUUGGCCGAUGUCGGUUUCCUGUGUUGGAUACCUAUUGGGAAGGCAUUCACGUUGGCUAAUUUGUCCCGAUUCCUCCCUGUGCUGCUGCGCCAUUUGGUGCUUGCGGUGUGGGGGGGACCUCAGAGCAUUCGCCGUGUGUCGCAGUCCACGCGCUUUUAUACGAGUGCUUGGGCUGACGACCCAUGGCGACUUGCCCGAUCUCUCGGAUGCGGAACACUAGCGGGUACGAGGCCACGACCUCUAAAUGCCCCUAAAAAAGAGCGUUCUACGCUUCGUGCGAACGACGGUCGCUUCGGUUUUGCUCGUAAGCCCUCGUGGCUUGGAUCAUGCCGGGACGACGUCGAAUGAGGAAUGCUACCUGGUUGAUCCU
This 434-nucleotide unclassified non-coding RNA is filed under the name Holmskioldia sanguinea. RNAcentral's name for it is "partial contains external transcribed spacer and 18S ribosomal RNA". Lineage: Eukaryota; Viridiplantae; Streptophyta; Magnoliopsida; Lamiales; Lamiaceae. The record is from RNAcentral.